RNAcentral lists this long non-coding RNA (291 nucleotides) under Mytilus galloprovincialis (Mediterranean mussel). The record is from RNAcentral. Lineage: Eukaryota; Metazoa; Mollusca; Bivalvia; Mytilida; Mytilidae.
CAAUUUUUCACAAUUUGUUCAUCACAUUUGCUAACUUUAAAAAAUCUUCUCCUCUGAAACUACUGAAUGGAUUUGGAUGAAACUUAGCAUGAUUGUUCUUUAGAUUAUCCUGCACAAAGUGUGUGCUUCGAUUUUUGAUCCGUCAAAAAACAUGGCCGCCAUUACUUAAAAUAGAACAUAGGGGUCAAAUGCAGUUUUUGGCUUAUAUCUCAAAAACGAAAGCAUUUAGAGCAAAUCUGACAUGGGGUAAAAAUGUUCAUUAGGUCAAGAUCUAUCAGCCCUGAAAUUUUC